GACGAACGCUCGGCGGCGUGCCUAAUACAUGCAAGUCGAGCGAAGUUUUUCUGGUGCUUGCACUAGAAAAACUUAGCGGCGAACGGGUGAGUAACACGUAAAGAACCUGCCUCAUAGACUGGGACAACUAUUGGAAACGAUAGCUAAUACCGGAUAACAGCAUUAACUGCAUGGUUGAUGUUUAAAAGUUGGUUUUGCUAACACUAUGAGAUGGCUUUGCGGUGCAUUAGCUAGUUGGUGGGGUAAAGGCCUACCAAGGCGGCGAUGCAUAGCCGACCUGAGAGGGUGAUCGGCCACACUGGGACUGAGACACGGCCCAGACUCCUACGGGAGGCAGCAGUAGGGAAUCUUCCGCAAUGGGCGAAAGCCUGACGGAGCAACGCCGCGUGAGUGAAGAAGGAUUUCGGUUCGUAAAGCUCUGUUGUUAGGGAAGAAUGAUUGUGUAGUAACUAUACACAGAGAGACGGUACCUAACCAG
This 478-nucleotide ribosomal RNA is filed under the name Gemella haemolysans. Its description in RNAcentral is "bacterial SSU rRNA". It matches the Rfam family "Bacterial small subunit ribosomal RNA", at positions 28 to 486 of the family's 1533-position model. Lineage: Bacteria; Bacillati; Bacillota; Bacilli; Caryophanales; Gemellaceae. The record is from RNAcentral.